UACGAAGGGGGCUAGCGUUGUUCGGAAUUACUGGGCGUAAAGCGUGCGCAGGCGGCUUCCCAAGUCAGUGGUGAAAGCCCGGAGCUCAACUCCGGAAAUGCCAUUGAAACUGUGAAGCUUGAGAACGAGAGAGGUGGGUGGAAUUCCCAGUGUAGAGGUGAAAUUCGUAGAUAUUGGGAAGAACACCAGUGGCGAAGGCGGCUCACUGGCUCGUAACUGACGCUCAUGCACGAUAGCGUGGGGAUCAAACAGG
This 253-nucleotide ribosomal RNA is filed under the name uncultured bacterium. RNAcentral describes it as "partial 16S ribosomal RNA". It matches the Rfam family "Bacterial small subunit ribosomal RNA", at positions 524 to 776 of the family's 1533-position model. The record is from RNAcentral.